GAGCGGUAGAGAGAAGCUUGCUUCUCUUGAGAGCGGCGGACGGGAGAGUAAUGCCUAGGAAUCUGCCUGGUAGUGGGGGAUAACGUUCGGAAACGAACGCUAAUACCGCAUACGUCCUACGGGAGAAAGCAGGGGACCUUCGGGCCUUGCGCUAUCAGAUGAGCCUAGGUCGGAUUAGCUAGUUGGUGAGGUAAUGGCUCACCAAGGCGACGAUCCGUAACUGGUCUGAGAGGAUGAUCAGUCACACUGGAACUGAGACACGGUCCAGACUCCUACGGGAGGCAGCAGUGGGGAAUAUUGGACAAUGGGCGAAAGCCUGAUCCAGCCAUGCCGCGUGUGUGAAGAAGGUCUUCGGACUGUAAAGCACUUUAAGUUGGGAGGAAGGGCAGUUACCUAAUACGUGAUUGUUUUGACGUUACCGACAGAAUAAGCACCGGCUAACUCUGUG
Molecule: ribosomal RNA, 448 nt
Filed under: uncultured bacterium
Lineage: Bacteria
Description: bacterial SSU rRNA
Rfam family: Bacterial small subunit ribosomal RNA
Source: RNAcentral